This 120-nucleotide ribosomal RNA is filed under the name Madurella mycetomatis. Lineage: Eukaryota; Fungi; Ascomycota; Sordariomycetes; Sordariales. The record is from RNAcentral.
ACAUACAACCAUAUGCGGUAGAAAAUAAUCACGGGAUUCCAUCCACUCUUCCUUAGUCAAGCUACUGACGGCCAACUAGUAGUUGGGUCAGUGAAUUUGUGGUCUGUGGUGUUGUAUGUU